AGUGAACGCUGGCGGUAGGCCUAACACAUGCAAGUCGAACGGCAGCACAGUAAGAGCUUGCUCUUACGGGUGGCGAGUGGCGGACGGGUGAGGAAUACAUCGGAAUCUACUUUUUCGUGGGGGAUAACGUAGGGAAACUUACGCUAAUACCGCAUACGACCUACGGGUGAAAGCAGGGGAUCUUCGGACCUUGCGCGAUUGAAUGAGCCGAUGUCGGAUUAGCUAGUUGGCGGGGUAAAGGCCCACCAAGGCGACGAUCCGUAGCUGGUCUGAGAGGAUGAUCAGCCACACUGGAACUGAGACACGGUCCAGACUCCUACGGGAGGCAGCAGUGGGGAAUAUUGGACAAUGGGCGCAAGCCUGAUCCAGCCAUACCGCGUGGGUGAAGAGGGCCUUCGGGUUGUAAAGCCCUUUUGUUGGGAAAGAAAAGCAGCAGGUUAAUACCCCGCUGUUCUGACGGUACCAAAAGAAUAAGCACCGGCUAACUUCGUG
Molecule: ribosomal RNA, 492 nt
Filed under: uncultured bacterium
Lineage: Bacteria
Description: partial 16S ribosomal RNA
Rfam family: Bacterial small subunit ribosomal RNA
Source: RNAcentral